GAGCUCAGUUGGUUAGAGCGUGGUGCUGAUAACGCCAGGGUUGCAGGUUCGAUCCCCGCACA
RNAcentral lists this transfer RNA (62 nucleotides) under Podarcis lilfordi (Lilford's wall lizard). RNAcentral's name for it is "tRNA.Ile". It matches the Rfam family "tRNA", at positions 9 to 63 of the family's 71-position model. From Rfam's summary of the family: Transfer RNA (tRNA) molecules are approximately 80 nucleotides in length. The record is from RNAcentral. Lineage: Eukaryota; Metazoa; Chordata; Lepidosauria; Squamata; Lacertidae.